Nemania sp. FL0031 is the source of this 83-nucleotide non-coding RNA. The record is from the annotation of a GenBank genome assembly. NCBI's taxonomy places the organism in Eukaryota, Fungi, Ascomycota, Sordariomycetes, Xylariales, Xylariaceae.
UCCGAAUUGGUGUAGUGGCUAACAUUUGACGCUCUCAUAAGUGAAGAACCGUCAAGCCCGGGGUUCGAUUCCCCGAUUCGGAG